UUGGGGGUGGCUGGCAGAAAAAUGAGGCAGGCCGCUGGACCGUCGAAGGAUCUUGCGUGACCUCGAGCAGCCUCUGAGGAGUCAAUUUCGAUUAUUUUUCCUCAUAGAUUCCCACCUGGGAACCUGGGCCUCAGUUUUCCUAUCUGGGAAGAGGGCAAGGAGUCGUCCUCACACCCACACACGGCAGUGAUGGGGCAAACCGUAGAUGAGCUGCUUUGGUUCCUGCUCAGCAAAGAGUUUCUCUGAGCCUCGACUUCCUUCUGCUUCAGCCUACUGAGUGGCUAGGACCACAGAUUUUGGGUGAAGCGUGUGCAGAAGAUAACCUGAAGUUCUUUGGGGCAAGACUUACCGACUGUAUCUUUGUGGCCUGCAGUAGCUAAGGAACUUACAGAAGUGCCAUAGCCAAGGAGCAACAUAACCCCAGGAGAAUCCAGACUGGGCCACAAGACACUCGUCUGCCGCUGUGAUAGCCAAAGGUCUGGAACUUCCACUAGAGAGAAAACCAACCAGAUGUCAACUAGCCUGACACGCUUGUUGGCAUGUGUGAAAACCCACGUGCACAGAAGGUAGGCAACCUUCUAGAGGGAGGACAGGUGUUGUUAUCUUCAUUUCAGGAGUGAGGAAACAGAGGUGUCACAAGAUUCAGUGACCUGUUUGAGGUCACCCAACUGGCUCAUCAAAUAGCACCACACUCCAGAAAGUGCUGUAAGCCCUGGACCACACUGCCAGGCCCCCAGCUGUCACUCUCCAAAGAACACAUUGGCUCAGACUUCCUACUCCCAGGCCAGCAGCUC
This is a long non-coding RNA of Tupaia belangeri chinensis (Chinese tree shrew), 794 nucleotides long. RefSeq lists it as uncharacterized. The transcript has 4 exons. NCBI's taxonomy places the organism in Eukaryota, Metazoa, Chordata, Mammalia, Scandentia, Tupaiidae. The record is from RefSeq and is a predicted model, not a curated record.